UUUACAUUUUUAAUAAUAUAAUGUGGCAACUCUAGAAUUUAGAUUUUCUAGAGUUUGUUGUUACUGUUGUUUGCAUAGUGAUUUUUCUGAAGUAAUUCUGUGAAGUCUAUAUUGUCUGUUGUGUGUGGCCACUGCUUGGUUAGCUUAGUGGUCAGUUAAUGACUGGACAGAGGUUUUAUUAAAUCAUUGGAACUGAUGCGUCUUCCAGUCUUUGCUGGGUGAUGUAUAUAAUUUUAUAUGUUUUCAUUCUUCUAGGGCUAUUUUAGAGUCACUUGCUGAAACACGUCUAUUGCAGAGCACCGAAGACAAACCAGAGCUACUCUCACAGCCCUAAACCUGGGGGGACCGUUUACAACACAAUGAAGCCAGCUCCUCUAGGGUCUUCCCUCGCUGCUCAGGCUCCUCUCUACCAAGAUCCAAGAAAAGUGACAGGUGCACCCUGCAGCCAGCACAGCAUGCAGGCCCUGAAGACCAGAGCUAUCUCAGCAGGACAGGUGGCUCAGGCACCAGGACACACAUCGCUGGAAAAUUAGAUUUGAGGAUCAGCUACAAUGUCCAUGCCUCCCAGGGAGCCUGUGUUCCCAGCCAGACCCCCCCCCCCCCCCCACCCAGCAUGGACCAAAGAUUUCAGGUACCUCCGGCUCUCCUCCUCACUGCCCAGGCUCUUUCUGUGAGGAUAUGUCUUUUCUAGUCCUCCAGAAAGUCCUCUUCCAUCUCCUCCUAAGAGGGAAAUUUCUCUCAAAGGAAAAUGCUAGUUCAUGUAGAGAAAAUCUUUUAAUUCUCAUGAUAGCACAGCCUUCAAAGAGGAUAGUCUCUGUUUCUC
This is a long non-coding RNA of Pipistrellus kuhlii (Kuhl's pipistrelle), 823 nucleotides long. RefSeq lists it as uncharacterized. The record is from RefSeq and is a predicted model, not a curated record. Lineage: Eukaryota; Metazoa; Chordata; Mammalia; Chiroptera; Vespertilionidae. The transcript is spliced from 2 exons.